UGCUAACUGAACAUGUGCAGUGGCUGUGCGUGGUCAGGAUAUUCUUGUAGCAAUGAAAAAGGCAGCAGGGGAAUCAAGGAAGUUUUAUAGGUGCUCAAAAGAUCCAUGCUUACAUAUACAGUAACUGGAAAUAUGUGAUGAUUUGGCAGACAGGUGGCAUGUUGGAGAUAAAUGCCUUGCUCCUUUUUCUGAAAAUGGAAAGCUUUGUGACGCCACAAUAACAUCAUUUGAAACAGAUGAGAGUGGGAACUUUUUUGCAAUGAUUUCUUUUGAAGAAUCUUAAGAAAAGAAAAUACUAUCAGCGAAACUUUGUAGGAUCAAAAUGAAUAAAGAUGCAGAAAAAAGCUUAAUAUUUGAUGAUGAAGAUUUGGAGAAGCCUUAUUUUCCUGACAGAGGUCUUCCCUCCUUGGCAGUUGCCUUCGAGUUGUCCAAGGAUGGGCAUCAGAUCCCUUAUACAAUUAAUAGAUAUCUACGUGAUUACCAGAGGGAAGGUGCCCAGUUUUUAUACAGUCACUAUGUUCGUAAAAAUGGAUGUAUUCUGGGAGAUGACAUGGGACUUGGGAAAACAGUACAGGUGAUAUCAUUUCUGGCUGCAAUGCUACACAAAAAGGGGACACGUGCGGAUAUUGAAAAUAACAUGCCUGAUUUCUUGCUAAGAACAAUGAAAAAAGAAAAGUCAUCUGCGCCAAAGAGAACUUUUCUGAUUGUAGCACCCCUUUCUGUACUUUAUAACUGGAAAGAUGAAUUGGACACCUGGGGCUAUUUCAAGGUUAUAGUUUUGCAUGGCAAUAGAAAAGACUAUGAACUGAAUCGAAUCAAGCAAGGAAAAUGUGAGAUUGUGCUAACAACAUAUGAAACACUACGUCUUUUUUUGGAUGACCUUAAUAGCAUAGAGUGGUCAGCUGUCAUUGUUGAUGAAGUGCACAGAAUCAAGAAUCCAAAGUCUCAGACAACUAAGACAAUGAAGGCUUUAACAUGUAAAGUUCGACUAGGCCUUACUGGGACAAUUCUUCAGAACAACAUGAAGGAACUAUGGUGUGUUAUGGACUGGGCUGUGCCAGGGCUUUUGGGUAAUGAAAAACGCUUCAAGAAAGAAUUUUCUGAUCCAGUUGAGCACGGUCAAAGACACACGGUAACAAAAAGAGAGCUGGCAACUGGUCGAAAGGCAAUGCAAAGGCUAGCUAAGAAAAUGUCGGAUUAUUUCUUAAGACGUACAAAGACUCUUAUUAAUGAUCAGCUGCCCAGGAAGGAAGACAGGAUGGUAUACUGCUCUUUGACAGAGUUCCAGAGAGCGGUAUAUAAGGCUGUAUUGGAGACAGAAGAUGUACGCUUAGUACUUCAAGCACGGGGCCGGUGUAGCUGCAACAGUGGCCAAAAAAGGAAGAAUUGUUGUUUCAAAACAAAUGCCCAUGGUGAAACAAUGCAGGCGCUGUAUUUCAGUUACCUCACAGUUCUUCGUAAGAUUGCUAAUCACGUGGCCCUGUUGCAGACAGACAACACGAGCAAACAGCAGGAAGCGCACAUCACAAGGGUCUGCAGUGAAGUGUUUUCCAAGUUUCCUGAUUUUGUGCAACUUAGCAAAGAUGAAGCCUUCAAAACUAUUUCUGACCCAAAAUAUAGUGGGAAAAUGAAGGUGCUGCAGAAACUUCUAAAUCACUUUAGAAAGAACAAAGAUAAAGUGCUUCUUUUUUCAUUUUCAACCAAGUUGCUUGAUGUUUUAGAACAAUAUUGCAUGGCAUCUGGGCUAGAUUACCGAAGACUCGAUGGAAAUACAAAGGCAGAGGACAGGGUCAAGAUAGUAAAAGAGUUCAACAGCAUGGAAGAAGUUAACAUAUGCCUCGUGUCUACAAUGGCUGGUGGACUCGGACUCAAUUUUGUUGGUGCUAAUAUUGUUGUGCUGUUUGAUCCAACAUGGAAUCCAGCUAAUGAUCUUCAGGCCAUUGACAGAGCAUACAGGAUUGGCCAAUGCAGGGAUGUGAAAGUAUUUAGGCUUAUAUCUUUGGGAACUGUGGAAGAGAUUAUGUAUUUACGGCAAGUUUACAAGCAGCAACUGCAUUGUGUAGUGGUGGGAAGUGAAAAUGCCAAGCGAUAUUUUGAGGCAGUUCAAGGAUCGAAAGAACAUCAAGGAGAACUUUUUGGAAUCCGUAAUCUGUUCAAGUUUCGGGAUUGUGGAUCCUGUCUUACAAAAGAAAUUCUGGAGAGAGAAGGGAGAGUGGAAGCUGGUGUCAUGACAGCUACUACAUGGUUAAAAGAGGAACUCCAGCCUGAUGAGACAGAAAGGCAGGCAGAGCCUGGUUGUGAAGACCAAGAUGCUGGUUGUCCCAAGGAACCAUUGGGAAAUAAAGGAUUUGAUUCUAGUGACUUCAGUGAUGAAGAGCUUGUGCGAAAUUCAAAGGGAAAAGCAGAAAGAAGCAGAUUGUGCAAUGCAAGAAGUACCAAGGUUUUACAAGGGCAACUUACUUUACUGCAGUGUGGAUUUCCAAAACUUUUAGAAAAGAGGCCCAAAACAGCUGAGCAUGGUGACUGCAUCAGCAGCUCCAGUGAUGAAAGUGUUGGUGGCAAAUCUGUGGGACGGAGUUCCAAAGGAAGUUGCUCUAGUGGCUGUUCUCUAAAGACUGAGAGCUAUGGUUGUACUUCCGGGCAUCCGAAAACAUCUGACUCUUCAGUCAGAAUGGCAAAACUAGAGGUGCACAGAAAAACUGCAAAUUGGGAUUCUCCAGUUUCAUUAAGCACUGAGGAAGAAAAGAGUGCUGGAAAUCAGCAUGAAAGCAUGUGCAUUUCUAAACAAGUUGACGUUGCUGUGGAACCUGAAGACAGUUCCACUGAAAAUGAAGACAUUGUCUUCCCUUCUCAAGUUCCUGUUUGUCAGGAAAUUGCAAAAAGUUAUAAAAACACUGCAGCCAACCAUGAUACAGAAAAAAGCCCCAUGCGUACAUCUCAUUUGACUUCUGAGGAGGAUAGGAGUAGUAUUUCACCAUACAGUAAAAUUAAACCAUUUGAAAACAUGUCAAAGAUCAGAACUGUGAAUGAAGCAAGUGACGUUAGUGACGAAUCUGAUGAUAUUGAGAUGUUUAAGUCAGGAAAGCAGGAAUUCACCAACACUAUGAAACAAGAACAAUUUCAGAACAAGCAACUUAAUAACCCUUCUGGAAUGGUUUCGCAUAGAAGCAGAUCAGGCAAUGCUGACUCUCAGAGUAUAGAAGAGUUUUCAUCACCAGAGGAUAGCUUCUCAAUUAAGAAGACUGAUGUUAAUAAACAAAAACGGAAGCUCAAAAGUACUAGGUGUAGAAUUCAGUUUAAAUCUGAAUUACCCAGAUAUAGUAAUAAUCCUUCUGUGACACUGAGAAAACAAGAUAAUUCAAAUAGCUGCCAGUUGUCUUUCAGCAAGCAAACUUUUGCAAGCCAAGGACAAAAUGUUGGAUCACUAGACAGACUUCUUGGUGAUGUUGCUGAAGUGUCCUAUGUUCAUUCAAAUCAAAAUGUGGUGGGUUCCAGCAAAGCUGAAAAUCAGAUGAGUCGUUGGGCAGUGCGAGAUGUAUUUGAGCUGCAGCAGUUUUCCCAGCUUCCUGCAAAUAUUGCAGUAUGCAGAGGCAAGAAAGACAGGAAGAACACAGAAGAAAGUCCAUCAAAGAAGAGCACCCACAAAGUUAAGUCAGUAAGUGGAAUCAGCAAACCAUCUGUUCUUUAUAUCACACAUCCAGUGUGCCAGAAACAGAAAAGGGUCCACCGAAUAGGUUCAAGGACCUUCCUACUUGGAAAGACACCGAAAGGAAUCCGAAGGAAACAAUUUGAAGAAAUGGCAUCUCAUUUUCAUAAGAACCCAGUGGAGGAAUUCGCAAAGCAUAUUGUUGACACUACCUCAGAAGAGAGACAGAAAAUGUUGAAAGAAUUUUAUGGUGCAAAAUAUCCAGAAUUAAAGGAGCUAUUAAAAGUUGAUGUUCCAGUUUCUGCUUCAGACAAAGAAGAUGUACAGAGAGCCCAGUCUAGAAAAAGAAAGUCCGUUUUUAAACCUGAAAAAUCAGUGUCUGGUCCUUUGACAGAUCUGUGUGGCCAUAAAAGACAUGAUGCAGAAGGAAAACAAUUUCAGUAUGAUCCCUGCGUACAAACUGCUGUGUGUCAUAAUGUGGAGAAUAAACAAUUGCCCACUGUCAUUACCCAAGAUAGCAUUAGUGAGAGAAACAGUCAGGCAUUCAAAGACUUUAUGGCAUCUGACUCAUUAAGCAGUAAAUCAGGAAUAAUUGAGGGGCUGUCUGCAAAUACUACCAAAGGACAGCCAAACUUGAAGGGGGCAGAGUCGCCAAGAAAACCCUUUCUGUCUCAGUCAGAAAGCAGACAGGCUGAAAUAUGCAAGGAAAACUCAUUUGCAGACUUACUAGGAGACACCUCCAUUUUAAAUGACCUCUUCAAAAGUAAUGGAAAUAGACCAACUGAGCCACCCAGGAGGUCUCUUUCUGGGCCUACGGAAGGAGCAAAAACGCGAUCAAAGGAUUUCUGGGACAUGCUGAAUGAACAGAAUGAGGAGAGUCUGCAAAAGCUGACAGACAUAGCAAUCAUAGAGAAACUAUGUGAAAAAGCACCUCUCGCUCGUUUGUCUAGGGAGAAAGAAGAAGAUAAGAAAUCGCUUUGGAAGAAAAAUGACAAUUUUUUAUGGAAAAGAUACAAUACAACUGACACAGAUGAUGAAUCUUCGUGUGACACAUGAUGAGAUGUGUAAAUAUCAAAAAAGAAAAAUAUGCACAGGUGCUUAAAAAGUUACUUUUUAUUCCUGGAACUGACCCAGUACAUUCCAGGCUGCUUUAGCUGUUUCUUUUCCAAGGAUAACUUAUUCUUAGUGUUUCAAAAGAACACUUUCUCACACACAGUAUGUGUUUUAAAGCAAUUGCAAGAGGAAAAUAUCCUUGAAAGGAUAGCUCUUGGAUCCCUGAAUACGGAGAAAGGUAGGAUAAGAUGACCAGAUCUGAAAUAAACAAACAGAUGUAAACCAUAUGCCUUUGUAGCACCUGUGGAUAGUUUCCCUUUUUGUUGCUCCCUUUCUUCUUAAUCCUCUUGCUUCUUGGUGUAAUUCUUGGAGUUUUAAAAAUCAGUUUAUAAUCAAUUAAAGAACAUAUUCAGGGUAUUAUCCAGCCUAUAAAUAAGGUGUAAGGUAAUUCCCAUGAAGUGCAUCAGGUAAGUGGUGCAGCAGUAAUUCAGAAUGGUUAUGUCUUAUCAGUUCAGUGCUAUGUCACUUCAUAAUCUGAAGCAAACAAGGAGAGCUAGUGAAAAAAGAAGGUGGGAAUAAUGGCAGAGGAGUAUAUGGUGUUCGAUGGGGAGGAAUGUACCUACUUUGCUGUGUGGACAUCUAUAGUGCAGCUUCUCAGGAUAAUUAAACUUUUCCAUGUUGAAUGAUAACAAUUAUUUCAGCUGGUCUAGACUUUACUUCUCUCGUUGCCCUCCACACUGUCUAAAAAUCAGCUCUGGAAAGUUUCCCAAUCAUCCAGUGAAAAUAUUAUGGAAGUAGAGGAAAUUGUGAGUCAGGUGAAGAAUCCUGUUUCUGCUUCCGUCAAUCGAACUGCACCAUGAUGCUGACCAUAACUAGAAUGCUGAAUAGGAAUGAGCUUUAUGACAGUCAUUAGGCAUAGGUUACCAGGCACCGCAUUGUUAAUAUCGUCUUUGAAUUAUGUGUGCUUGGUUAUGUGCCAUCAAUUCAGCACUGUCUUACAGUGACCUUAAUGGGGUGUUCAAGGCAAGUGAGAUAUUUAAGGAGUGGAUUUGCCAGUUCAACAUCAUGACUGAGCAGGAAUUUGAACACAGAGCUCCUAGGUCCUAGUCUGUCAUUCUGUAUACUACACCAUAUUGGGUAUCAUGUGCUAGACUCAUUUAAAUGAAUGAAAACAGCACUUCGGAAUCAAGAGUGAUAGUCAUCAUGUGAGCUGCUGAAAAAAAACCUUCGUAAAUUAUUGCCUGUGUGCUUAUCAUCCAAUUGGUGAUGGAAUUGCGACAUAUUUAUGUCAGGGAAAUGAUGGAUCACUGUGGAACUUCAGCUUGUAUGAAGUUCUAAGUAACCAUUCUGUCCGCAAAUAAAAAUACUUUUAAAUAGAAGACUUCAUAAUUGUAUCUCUGUGUUUGUAAAAUGUUACUUCUAUUAUGGCUCAGUUUCUCUAUCAUACACUAGCAGAAGGGUCUCCAAAUUUUUCACACGGAGAGCCACAUAAUUUCGAUAUUUUCAAGGGCUGAAGGAAUGCACACAUGCACACAAUCCUACCCGCCCAUGCUCCUGUACAUACACACACCCGCCCGCACACAUGCACUCCCGCCGACCUACACGCGUGCAUUCCCACCCACCCGCAUGCACGGAGACCCCUGCACUAACAGAUCUACCCAAAUAACAUUGUGGUGGUUGUUGUUUUGAUAUCUUCACAUUUUUUCUGACCAACCUCUUGCAAAUAAGUGUCUGGUAAAAAUAUUUUGGUGUAGAA
This is a non-coding RNA of Pogona vitticeps (central bearded dragon), 6455 nucleotides long. The record is from RefSeq and is a predicted model, not a curated record. Lineage: Eukaryota; Metazoa; Chordata; Lepidosauria; Squamata; Agamidae.